Dermacentor albipictus is the source of this 261-nucleotide long non-coding RNA. RefSeq lists it as uncharacterized. Lineage: Eukaryota; Metazoa; Arthropoda; Arachnida; Ixodida; Ixodidae. The record is from RefSeq and is a predicted model, not a curated record.
CUUGAAACAUGCUUACUGUUUCACAGCAAAGGCACGCGAAGCCCCCGUCGAAGCUCGCUUUGACUGAGCCUAUUGGGCACGCCAGUGAAGCAAGCAAAGAUGGCCGGCUACGGGAGGAUGGAUCCACGGCGUGGAUGGGGCCCUUACGGUAAGUAAAUGUCAUCUUGCCUCUUCUCUGGCGCUUGUUUUUGCGUAUACAGGCUGACAUGGUAACCAAACGAAGAUUGAACUUUUGCCAUGCUCUCUUUUUUGUUAACUGCU